RNAcentral lists this ribosomal RNA (253 nucleotides) under uncultured bacterium. RNAcentral describes it as "partial 16S ribosomal RNA". It matches the Rfam family "Bacterial small subunit ribosomal RNA", at positions 524 to 776 of the family's 1533-position model. The record is from RNAcentral.
UACGGAGGGGGCUAGCGUUGUUCGGAAUUACUGGGCGUAAAGCGUACGUAGGCGGCUUUGUAAGUUAGAGGUGAAAGCCCGGGGCUCAACCCCGGAAUUGCCUUUAAGACUGCAUCGCUUGAACGUCGGAGAGGUGAGUGGAAUUCCGAGUGUAGAGGUGAAAUUCGUAGAUAUUCGGAAGAACACCAGUGGCGAAGGCGGCAUCCUGGACCAAUACUGACGCUGAGGAGCGAAAGCCAGGGGAGCAAACGGG